Molecule: long non-coding RNA, 2035 nt
Filed under: Malus domestica (apple)
Lineage: Eukaryota; Viridiplantae; Streptophyta; Magnoliopsida; Rosales; Rosaceae
Description: long non-coding RNA (MDOM_LNC000660)
Source: RNAcentral
UUUUAUUAUUUUAAUAUUUAGAAUUUAUUAAAUGAUUUUUUUUAGUUUUUAAUAAUAUUUUUUAAUUUUUUAAUAGAAAGUGGGAUCUGGAUCAAGCCACGUCAGCAUAUAACUGAAAAAUAAACGGCCAAGUAACGGAAGGUAUAACAUUGGACCAAAUUCUAAAGAUGAGGUAUGACAUUGUCAAUUUUAAAAGAUGAGGUAUGAAAGUGUCGUGACACCAAUAGUUAAGGUAGUUUUUUGUACUUUACCCAAAAUUAUUUAUAGCGACAAGAUUUUUUACUUAUAAUUGCAAGGGGAAAAACCAACUAACUUAUUCCACAUUUACGAUAUGAGACAUUAAAGAAGUACAUAGAGGUGAGAUUUGUUGCUAUGGGAGGCAGGGCAGAUUAAAAAAAUGACAAUUAUUUAAAGUGACUAUAAUUAUUCGCAGUUCUUAGAAAAAUAUAGUUGACGUCAAUAUGGUUGAAAGUUUUUGGCAAAGAAAUAAUAAUAUAAAAAAUACUCCUAUUUUAUGUUUUGAAGAGUACUUAUGUUAGUACAUAAAAAAAUUGUAAACUUGGUCCAAUCGAGAAAUCAUUAAUCUGGACAUUUCAGGAAUAAACCUCCAUUAUCAAAAGUCGUCCAUAAUUUGCGUAAAAUACCCUAAAAUACCCUGAUAUCUGAGAAGAUUAUACGACUAAGCAUAAAUCGAGAGAAAUUAUGAUAAGAAAUGGAGUAGGUGGAAGGAAAAAAACAUGGAUGCGAUAUGAAUCUAGCGGUAUAUGUUAAUCUAAAUAUGAGAACUUUAAAUACAAUUAUGUGAUAACAAAUUAUACACAAAACUUACCACUUAACAAAUUUUGAGUGGUUGUUAGUGUCACUUAGCACAGUCGGUUAAGUCCUACAUAAGUAUUUUAAAUUAGGGUAAUGCUAGGGAUCCCACACUUUUAGGCCAUAUGUUGUAGAUCACAUGAUAUGACGGUUGAUAGUUGAAUUUUUUUCUUUAAUGAUUUAAAGAAGAAAUCCAAUCAUCAAACCCACACCAUAUGGUCUACAAAAUAUAUUUCAAGUAGAUGGUUUCUCUAGCAUUACUCAAAAUGAAAUUCAACCAUUAACGUCACAUAACAUAGUUUAUAAAUGGAUGAAGUGCCAAUUUAGUCCCUGAACUAGCACCUUAGUAAAAGUUAGGUCUCUGAAUUUAUUUUUCGGUAAAAUAAGUCCCUAAAUUCAUUAAAAAAAAUGUUAACUUCAGCCGUACUAUUAUAUUCAAAGUUAUUUUAUCCAAUUUUUUUGUCAAUUUAAAUCACUUGAUACACUUUAGAGUGUAAUACCGUCAUUUUUCACCUAUAUAGGUUGCAAAUCUAACGUCUAAUUUACCCUCCAAAGUUAACUUCAUACAUUAUUUUUUUAUGAAAAAAUACCAAUCUACCCUCUAUGUGUAUCACGUGCAAGUAAUGUAUUUUAAAUUCACGGAAAAUUGAAUAUUGUAGUUUGAAAUAUAAUAUUAGGGAUGUAAUUGGCAUAUUUUUAUAUUUUAAGGACUAUUUUUUUUGAAAAAAUAGUUUAAAACUUAAUUUUCACUCAGAUAAUAAUUUAGGAACUAAAUGGGAAAUUUGGAAAAAUAAGCAAAUUUUGGACUCUGUAUAAUCACUUUUCAAAAUUUCUGAUAUUAUUAGCCAAAAUGUGAUAUGAAAGUACUAAUUUGUCCUUAAUGACUAAAAUUCUUGAACAAGGGUUUGUAACUGUAAGAGCAAGUCCACCCCACACAAUUUAGCCUAGCACCCAGUCCAAAAAGCAACCCAACACCCUGUCAAUUUGCUCAAACCCGCAAAACAGCCUGGCACCCAGCCCAAGCUAGGCAACAGACCAGCCCAUUUCGGACAGACCCAGAGGCCGGCCUAUUUGGCUAGCGCGUGCAGCACACUCGCGACUGGGCGCAAGUAUGAGACAAGGGUGCAGGCGACGGGGCCCGCUUGUCAACCCACUUGUGUUCACCCAGAUUAGGGCUAUGUGGCCCUCCUCAGUGCCGUUGGAUUUCCAACGGCUAAUUUUU